AUUGAACGCUGGCGGCAGGCCUAACACAUGCAAGUCGAGCGGAUGAGGGGAGCUUGCUCCUGGAUUCAGCGGCGGACGGGUGAGUAAUGCCUAGGAAUCUGCCUGGUAGUGGGGGAUAACGUCCGGAAACGGGCGCUAAUACCGCAUACGUCCUGAGGGAGAAAGUGGGGGAUCUUCGGACCUCACGCUAUCAGAUGAGCCUAGGUCGGAUUAGCUAGUUGGUGGGGUAAAGGCCUACCAAGGCGACGAUCCGUAACUGGUCUGAGAGGAUGAUCAGUCACACUGGAACUGAGACACGGUCCAGACUCCUACGGGAGGCAGCAGUGGGGAAUAUUGGACAAUGGGCGAAAGCCUGAUCCAGCCAUGCCGCGUGUGUGAAGAAGGUCUUCGGACUGUAAAGCACUUUAAGUUGGGAGGAAGGGCAGUAAGUUAAUACCUUGCUGUUUUGACGUUACCAACAGAAUAAGCACCGGCUAACUUCGUG
Molecule: ribosomal RNA, 484 nt
Filed under: uncultured bacterium
Lineage: Bacteria
Description: partial 16S ribosomal RNA
Rfam family: Bacterial small subunit ribosomal RNA
Source: RNAcentral